AUGAAUACAAGUCAGCGUUUCAGUGAUUUAUUAUGGAUGCCGCACAGCCAGCAUAAAAUAUCCAAAUCUUGGGAAAAUCCUAACAUUUGCUUGAAUGUUUGGUGUCAUCGUGUUGGCAUUCCAGUGGAUCCUCUUUGUAGCGCAGCCUUAGAGAACCUUGGUUUUUAUCAAAUUGCAAAAAUGACGAAAAUCAAUGUCGACAAAUAUUUGAUAUCAGCAUUGGUCGAGCGUUGGCGGCCUGAGAAAAAUAGUUUUCAUUUACCUGUAGGAGAAAUGACCGUUACACUACAAGACGUGAGUUGUUUGUGGGGGUUGCCUAUCCAUGGUAAACCACUUAUUGGCAAAGCUGAUGCUGCAUGGUCUGGAUGA
Molecule: ribosomal RNA, 369 nt
Filed under: Triticum aestivum (bread wheat)
Lineage: Eukaryota; Viridiplantae; Streptophyta; Magnoliopsida; Poales; Poaceae
Description: partial small subunit ribosomal RNA
Source: RNAcentral